AGGAAAAACAUUUACAAUUGGAGCAAAAUGUUUCUCCGGCCAUGAACCCCUUCUUCCCAGGGUGGUGCUACCCACAGAGGCUCCUGUGGCUUCGCCUCCCUCUGAUCUGGGCCCAUACAGCCUGCAGCCCAGUUGCCACGCGGCUAAGCCGCUGGGACAAUAAGGACUCCCACACCAAGAUGCUUCUGUUGGAAGGGCACAACA
Long non-coding RNA from Oryctolagus cuniculus (rabbit), 204 nucleotides. It matches the Rfam family "DAOA antisense RNA 1 conserved region 2". The record is from Rfam. Lineage: Eukaryota; Metazoa; Chordata; Mammalia; Lagomorpha; Leporidae.